GUUUAGAGGAAAAGAAUUAAUUCAACAGCAAAAACUGCUUGUAAAUCUUGAAAGAAAGCAAAAACUUAUGGAAUUACCACAAAGUCAGACCAGACCAAUGCAAAUAAAAUUAUCGCCAUUGGAAUGUGGUUGGAAGAGUGUUACAAUGGAUGGCAGAAGCAUUGAAUCAGAUCUUAUUGGAAAAGAUACAUUUGAAAGUUUUGAAACCUGGAUUUUGGAAAACAAAAUGAUAAUUUGUAUGACCAGUAAUUUAGCACGUAAGACUAGAAUCAAUUCAUUUAUAGUAACUGGGAAUGGAAAUAGAUUGGCUGGAUUUGCGUUAUCAAAAGCCAAAGCAUCCCUAAAGACGAUUAAAAAUAGGGCUGGUCAAAGAUUAAUGUAUAUUCCUACAUAUAAGAAACACACUGUGUUACAUGAUUUCUUUACACAGUUUGAGAAUAUAAAAAUAUUUGUAAAGAAAAUUCAUGAAGGAUAAUGGACUUGUUUGUCAUCAUGCGAUAAAAGCAUGUUGCGAGAUAAUUGGCAUAAAGGAUAUGUAUGCCAAAGUACAAGGAGGAAUGUAAAAGCAUUCUUUGGUUGGUUUAUUGCAAUAGUGAUACAGAAACAACAUUA
Molecule: unclassified non-coding RNA, 612 nt
Filed under: Camponotus floridanus (Florida carpenter ant)
Lineage: Eukaryota; Metazoa; Arthropoda; Insecta; Hymenoptera; Formicidae
Description: 28S ribosomal protein S5, mitochondrial-like, transcript variant X1
Source: RNAcentral